GACGACGGCUGGCGGCGUGCCUAACACAUGCAAGUCGAGCGGGGUUGAAGCGAGGGGUAACUCGAGUUCUACCUAGCGGCGGACGGGUGAGUAACGCGUGGGCAACCUGCCUCAAGGACUGGGAUAACAGCUCGAAAGGGCUGCUAAUACCGGAUAAGCCUAUGGCCUCGCAUGGGGCCAUGAGCAAAGGGGAAACCCGCCUUGAGAUGGGCCCGCGUCCCAUCAGCUAGUUGGUGAGGUGAAGGCUCACCAAGGCGACGACGGGUAGCCGGCCUGAGAGGGUGACCGGCCACACUGGGACUGAGACACGGCCCAGACUCCUACGGGGGGCAGCAGUGGGGAAUCUUGCACAAUGGGCGAAAGCCUGAUGCAGCGACGCCGCGUGAGCGAAGAAGGCCUUCGGGUUGUAAAGCUCUGUCUGGAGGGACGAAGGAAGUGACGGUACCUCCGGAGGAAGCCACGGCUAACUACGUG
This 474-nucleotide ribosomal RNA is filed under the name uncultured bacterium. RNAcentral describes it as "bacterial SSU rRNA". It matches the Rfam family "Bacterial small subunit ribosomal RNA", at positions 35 to 507 of the family's 1533-position model. The record is from RNAcentral.